UACGUAGGGUGCAAGCGUUGUCCGGAAUUAUUGGGCGUAAAGAGCUCGUAGGCGGUUUGUCGCGUCUGCUGUGAAAUCCCAGGGCUUAACCCUGGGCCUGCAGUGGGUACGGGCAAACUAGAGUGCGGUAGGGGGAGAUCGGAAUUCCUGGUGUAGCGGUGAAAAUGCGCAGAUAUCAGGAGGAACACCGGUGGCGAAGGCGGAUCUCUGGGCCGUAACUGACGCUGAGGAGCGAAAGCAUGGGUAGCGAACAGG
This 255-nucleotide ribosomal RNA is filed under the name uncultured bacterium. RNAcentral's name for it is "partial 16S ribosomal RNA". It matches the Rfam family "Bacterial small subunit ribosomal RNA", at positions 524 to 776 of the family's 1533-position model. The record is from RNAcentral.